CGGAGGAUGCAAGCGUUAUCCGGAUUUAUUGGGUUUAAAGGGUGCGUAGGCGGAUGAAUAAGUCUGUGGUGAAAGCCUGCAGCUUAACUGUAGAAUUGCCAUUGAUACUGUUCGUCUUGAGUACAGCUGAGGUGGGCGGAAUAUGACAUGUAGCGGUGAAAUGCUUAGAUAUGUCAUAGAACACCGAUUGCGAAGGCAGCUCACUAAACUGUCACUGACGCUGAGGCACGAAAGCGUGGGGAGCAAACAGGAUUAGAUACCCUGGUAGUCCACGCCCUAAACUAUGAUCACUCGAUGUUGGCGAUACACUGUCAGCGUCUAAGCGAAAGCAUUAAGUGAUCCACCUGGGGAGUACGGUCGCAAGACUG
Molecule: ribosomal RNA, 368 nt
Filed under: uncultured organism
Description: bacterial SSU rRNA
Rfam family: Bacterial small subunit ribosomal RNA
Source: RNAcentral